Molecule: transfer RNA, 73 nt
Filed under: Strongylocentrotus purpuratus (purple sea urchin)
Lineage: Eukaryota; Metazoa; Echinodermata; Echinoidea; Camarodonta; Strongylocentrotidae
Rfam family: tRNA
About the family: Transfer RNA (tRNA) molecules are approximately 80 nucleotides in length. Their secondary structure includes four short double-helical elements and three loops (D, anti-codon, and T loops).
Source: Rfam by way of RNAcentral
GGCAUGGUGGCUCAGUGGUUAGAGCGCCCGCCUCAUGAACGGAAGGUCGUGGGUUUGAACCCCUGCCGAGUCA